AUACGUAGGUGGCAAGCGUUGUCCGGAAUUAUUGGGCGUAAAGCGCGCGCAGGUGGUUCCUUAAGUCUGAUGUGAAAGCCCCCGGCUCAACCGGGGAGGGUCAUUGGAAACUGGGGAACUUGAGUGCAGAAGAGGAUAGUGGAAUUCCAAGUGUAGCGGUGAAAUGCGUAGAGAUUUGGAGGAACACCAGUGGCGAAGGCGACUGUCGGGUCUGUAACUGACACUGAGGCGCGAAAGCGUGGGGAGAAAACAGGAUUAGAUACCCUGGUAGUCCACGCCGUAAACGAUGAGUGCUAAGUGUUGGGGGGUUUCCGCCCCUCAGUGCUGCAGCUAACGCAUUAAGCACUCCGCCUGGGGAGUACGGUCGCAAGACUGAAACUCAAAGGAAUUGACGGGG
Molecule: ribosomal RNA, 397 nt
Filed under: uncultured bacterium
Lineage: Bacteria
Description: partial 16S ribosomal RNA
Rfam family: Bacterial small subunit ribosomal RNA
Source: RNAcentral